AUGCUCGCUAGGCGAGCAGAAUGGCUUGCCUAGCGAGUGAGUGUUGGCUGCUCUUUUGACCAAGUCUGAACGUGUUCGCUACCACCUUCGCUGGCUGCUCGCCUAACGAGUAUGUUGAUGUCUGCUACUGUAAAAUACUGGAGAUGUUCGCUGGAAUCUCACUGGGUGCUCGCCUAGCGAGCACUUCGCCACAGCACUCGCCUAGCGAGC
This 210-nucleotide long non-coding RNA is filed under the name Lathyrus oleraceus (garden pea). RNAcentral describes it as "Pisum sativum (pea) long non-coding RNA (PSAT_LNC013731)". The record is from RNAcentral. Lineage: Eukaryota; Viridiplantae; Streptophyta; Magnoliopsida; Fabales; Fabaceae.